UUUGAUAGAUCUAUCGGUAUCCUACCGCGCCUUUUCGCAGUGUUACUGCUGGGCUCAAGGGUACAGAUUAAACCCAUAGUAUAAGUGGAGUAAUGUGAAUGGCCCGUAUUGCCGGUGUCAACAUUCCAGAU
SAR92 bacterium BACL16 MAG-120619-bin48 is the source of this 131-nucleotide non-coding RNA. The record is from Rfam. NCBI's taxonomy places the organism in Bacteria, Pseudomonadati, Pseudomonadota, Gammaproteobacteria, Cellvibrionales, Porticoccaceae.